ACGUCCUCAAGGUAAUUAGCGCUCACCCAGAAACACGGCGUGUUUUUACGAGAUUUCAGGAAGACUGGUGAAAACAGACGUCCUGAACUUUGUUUACAACUUCUACGAAGCAAUUUCUUUUUAUUAUUGUUUUCAGUCAGACACUUUCCACGUGCCCCAGUUCUGGAGUAAACCUGAACUAGCCUCUCCGCGUAACUUCAAGAGGAGGGACGAGGAGUCUCAGAGCAGAUAUGCCGAGAAUGUACUUACAACCAUCUCAGAGUUCUCUGAAUGAAGUAUCACCUAUGUAUUGUCAACUAAAAUAAAAUUAUCCAAUUGUAC
Molecule: non-coding RNA, 321 nt
Organism: Pelobates cultripes (western spadefoot toad)
Lineage: Eukaryota; Metazoa; Chordata; Amphibia; Anura; Pelobatidae
Source: the annotation of a GenBank genome assembly